AUUUAAUUAAUAUAAAAAGUAUAUUAAGCUUCCAACUUAACAGUUUAGAAAUAAAUUAAAUA
RNAcentral lists this transfer RNA (62 nucleotides) under Mileewa ussurica. RNAcentral describes it as "tRNA-Gly". Lineage: Eukaryota; Metazoa; Arthropoda; Insecta; Hemiptera; Cicadellidae. The record is from RNAcentral. RNAcentral also lists the same sequence under 1 other name.